This 427-nucleotide ribosomal RNA is filed under the name uncultured prokaryote. RNAcentral's name for it is "bacterial SSU rRNA". It matches the Rfam family "Bacterial small subunit ribosomal RNA", at positions 355 to 774 of the family's 1533-position model. The record is from RNAcentral.
UAGGGAAUAUUGGUCAAUGGGCGCAAGCCUGAACCAGCCAUGCCGCGUGAGUGACGAAGGUCUUCGGAUUGUAAAGCUCUUUUCUGAGGGAAGAACCUCCCGGGUAGGAAAUGACCCGGGCUUGACGGUACCUCAGGAAUAAGGGACGGCUAACUCCGUGCCAGCAGCCGCGGUAAUACGGAGGUCCCAAGCGUUGUUCGGAAUUACUGGGCGUAAAGGGAGCGCAGGCGGAAUGAUCAGUCUAAAGUGGAAGCCCGGGGCUUAACCUCGGAAGUGCUUUGGAUACUGUCAUUCUUGAGUAAGUGAGAGGAAGGCGGAAUUCAGGGUGUAGCGGUGAAAUGCUUAGAUAUCCUGAGGAACACCGGUGGCGAAAGCGGCCUUCUGGCACAAUACUGACGCUGAGGCUCGAAAGCGUGGGGAGCGAACA